Molecule: long non-coding RNA, 3267 nt
Filed under: Olea europaea subsp. europaea
Lineage: Eukaryota; Viridiplantae; Streptophyta; Magnoliopsida; Lamiales; Oleaceae
Source: RNAcentral
CCCAAACCUAAACCUACUGCUAAUAGCCUCCCUCUCCCUCAACACACAGCCCCAAAAUCCCAUUUCUCAGAUGUUUCAAAUUUCAAUUUCCUACAUUCACGCCAUACGUUACCCCCGAAAUCUUUGUCACAACUACUUACCAUCUAGGUUAUAAAAGUCAAAAUUCACUUACCUAUUUUGUUCAAACAAUCGGAUUACCCCGUCAUUUUUUCACUUUCUCGUUUUCCUAUUUGUCUUGCAAGAACAAUCAAACAAUGGUGCGAACGGUAAAGCGGGAAUUGAUGGACAAUCGAGCAGUUGAAAUGCCUCACCUUUAAGAAUCGAAUUAGCAGUAAUUUGAUUUCCCAUCAUUUUAGAAAUUUCUUUCUUUGUUUUUGUAUUUCAAUUUUGAGUUAUUUAUUUAUUUUGCAUAUUCGGGCCAUUAAUGUCUCUGUUUUUUCCCCAUAUUUGUUUACUUUGAUUAAUUCGUAUUUAGUGAAAAGAUUGAUGAAAGCUCAUUGCAAAAAAAUCUCUAUAAUUCGAUUUGUUUUGUCUUCAUAUACUGGAAAAAAAAAUUGAGUGUUUUAAUCUUUAAUUUAAUUUUCUUCCGGAAUGGGUGGUUCCGGGAAGUGGAUAAAAUCACUCAUUGGUUUGAAGAAGCCGGGAUCAAAUGACCGUGUAAGCUAAUAAUCUUUGUAUUAUCUUUAUAUGAUUUUUUUGGUGUUUUAUGCAAUGAUUCUUAUAUUGAACUGUGUUGAGCCUAAUAAUCUUUGUAUUAUCUUUAUAUGAUUUUUUUUGGUGUUUUAUACAAUGAUUUUUAUAUUGAACUGUGUUGAGCUUAAUUCAUAUGUAAUAGUGUGUUUGGUUGGGCUUAAUAGUUGUUGUUGACUUCUUUUUGCCUUGUUGGCUUAAUGAUUGUUAUUGUUGUGUCGUCCAUGAGUUGCUCGCUGAAAAUGUCCGCUCGAUUCAUGCUAGACUGCUAGGUUUUGCCCUGAAAUAAGCACGAGCCACCCAUGGGUCGAGUCCCAAUGGUCAAGCUGAUGAUAUCACUGUUUAGCCCGUGCUCACAAAAUUCUUGGAUCUGCCCCUACCUGGAGGCACUAUUGUAUUCUCUCUGUCUCUGAGAAAACACAUAUUUCUAUGACCAAAAAUAACCUUCAUUCAGAUAACCGAUCUAUAGAUAAUCUUCAAAUGAAAUGCUCAAAGCUUCACCUUCUCUAGACUGAUCAUUCCCCUCCCAUGAUGUUUCACAAUACUUAUUUAUAUUCGUGUUGUUCUUUGAAGAUAAUUGAGCGUCCAUGGCCAUGCCAGCAUCUGAGGCCACAUUCUGCAUCGACCUAGGUGACAAUCAUGUCCGAGCAUUUGUUGGUAACAUUGAAGGGAAGUUGAGUUUUUUCGAUUGAUGAAGUUCCUCGUAGACAAUAAAAUGCAACAUCGUGUGCUAUUGCUGCGGCUUCAGGCGUUGAAUAAGAGCCUAACCAGAGACGUUCUUGUUGAGUUUAUGACCCAAAUUAGGAAAAAAAAUUGUUCCCUUACUUUCAAGUGGAAAAAAUUAUUACUUUAUUUUCGCGUGAUUUUAUUGGAAAUAUAUUAUUUUCUUAUUCCAUAUUAUUUUCAUAUUUAUGAUAUAGUAUGUACCUAUAAAUAGUAGCCCCUUCUUUCAGUUUAGGUAAAAAAACCAAAAUUGCCGUGUUGUAAUUUUCUCUCUAUAUCUGAUCAAGUUUUGAAAAAAAUAACAAAGCAUGAUAAUGUUAAGGCAUUAUUGGAUGAAUUAAAGAAGCUCUAUCUAGUUACGUCUUUGCCUAACAAGCUGUUUAUAGAAUUUUUUUUGGCUUUAUGACAAACCCCUCUAAAGAUUUGGAGGAUAAACUUAACACCUUUAAUAAGUUGGUCCAAGAUAUCAUCAAUGUAGUUGAUGAAAUUUUUGAGGAAUAUAAGGCUGUUGUGUUAGUUAAUGCUAUUCCUGAAGCUUAUGUGGAAGUCAAAGAUGCCAUAACAUAUGAAAGAGAUACCCUUACACCUGAAAUGGUUAUAAACUUUUUAAGGAGUAAGGAACUUGAGCUCAAAACUGAAAAAGGUAGUGGUGACUUGAAAACCUAUUUGUUAGAGGGAGGACCUUAAGUAAGUAUAAUAGUACUCAAGAAAAUCAAAGUAAUCAGGGAAAAAAAUCAUAGAAAGAAAUUCAAAAGUAGGGGCAGGUUGUAGAACUCCAAAUAAUUUUAAACACCUUAGUGACACUAAGACAUGAAUAUUGGAUGGUUAAAGUAUACUUCAAAUUUUUAGUCUCAUUUGAGACUCAUUUAUGACAUAGGAAACAUUCGAUUUGGAAAAUUAUAUCUAAAGAAAAGUUGUAGCUCUUUGAGUUAGCUUUCUAACGUACUUUGAAUUAUCUCAAUCGGAUAUCGGGAGAAGAAGUUAUGAUAGAAAUACUAAAGGCUAUACGGUAUCAAUUGAAGUAUGCGGAAUAUGAAAAGUCAAAUUCCUACACGAUUUUCUAGCACCUUCUUAAACCUAUAACUCCCACAUAAAUGGCACCCGUAUUAAUAAGUAUUAGGCCCUUCACUUGACCUUAAGUUGUGAGAUUUUUACCUAUAAAUAGGCCUCAAUGUAUACACAUUUUUCACACCAAGACAAAAGCUUCUAAACAUAAAAGUGAGUUUUCAAGUCUAGAAAAAGGAGAAAGGAGAGGGAGGAAAAUUAGUUUUUCCUAGAAGUUUUGGUGCUAUCAAUAAGUAUUUUCCAAGCAUCAAUUCUCAACAGAGUGUUAUUUUUUGAAACAUCAAAGGAGUGCAUUUUUCAACAAGGUUCAAAGUAUCAAUCAAGGUAGGUAGAGGUGCAAAGUGUUAAUUCGUGUUAACUUAUAAGUUUCUAGCAAAUGAAGAUAUACGUUAAUGUUUGUAUGUCUAAUGGUAUCUCCAAUACGUCAUACACCUCCAUGUCUAAUGGUACAUCCGGGUACGGCAUGUACUUCCGGUCGAAGCGUCGUGUUAAGUCAUGACUCUACGUGUUUGGGAUUCUACCAAAAAUCCUACUAUGAAAAGGUUUCUAAAGUUACAGCUUUGAAAUAUAUAGCUUGAUCACGGAUGCACCAAUGAUAUCUCUUGAGUUUUGUUAACUCACGGGUUUAACCCCUUCUCUACAGAUUGAUAUGAUUCUACCUUGGGCCUGGAUGAUGGAAAAGAUGAGAGAGUGGUGCAACAAGCCUAUGGAAAAUCCGGUGAACAAGUUAUUUAGAUUUAUUUUUGUGAACGUUUUCAAUGUUAUUUCUUUAAAGUAUUUGAAUAACGC